Long non-coding RNA from Lagopus muta (rock ptarmigan), 8546 nucleotides. RefSeq lists it as uncharacterized. The record is from RefSeq and is a predicted model, not a curated record. The transcript has 3 exons. NCBI's taxonomy places the organism in Eukaryota, Metazoa, Chordata, Aves, Galliformes, Phasianidae.
CAGUUUCUCACAUAUUGUAGUGAAAAUGUUAAGUCACUGCUUGAAGCUGUGAUUGAGCACCUGGUGGAAGGCAGGGCCAACCCAGAGGAGCUCAGGUGUGCGCAAUGCACUGAGUGACUUGAAGGGCUGAAGCCAGGAUCCACCCCUACCCAGGUCUCAUUUAAGUGUUGGCAGCAGUGGCAAGGAUGCUUUUCUAGAGAUUCUUGCAUAUCCGAGGCCUUCUGAAGAAUCUCCUGGGAGCAGCAAGAGCCUCUGAAGAAGCAAUAUUUGGAUGGGAAACUUAUGUCCUCCAAGCUGGCGAGUUGCAACACUGACACAGAUUUUUCUUGUCGCUGCAAAACUCUCCUUGUAAGAGGAACUGAAAACUCAGGAUUUGGAGCAUGGAAAGCACAAAUCCAGAGCAGCCAGAGAGGCUCCCAAGGCUCCUUGGGUAUUCCUUUGGAUGUCUUUGAGAAAACCUUUCCCUCUGCAAAGAAGAGGCUCCCAGAAGCAGGGAAGGAAGGAGCUGGGAAGAAGAGGAGGAGAGAUUCUUCUGGAACAUCAAUAGGUCUAAAUUCACAGAUUCAAUUUUUUCCCUUGCUUUUGCCACCACAAAUGGGAGCUGGAUCCCAACAAGUCUUAACUCCACAGAGACAGCACUCAUUUCUGUACGCCUGAGUCCUUCCACCACCCAUAAAAGCCUUUUGUGAUCAGUGUAACUGCCCGUCUGAGCACUUCCCAACCAUUAUGUAGGAAGAAAUGAGUAUUACUUUUAUUCUGACUCCCCAAACUACAGGAAACAAGGAACCUAGACAGAGAGAGUGGGAAAAGAUGUCCCUACUUUCCCUUGUGACUCUGCAGGCUGUCAGCAGCCUUGGGAGGACGCUAACAGGAGGAGAAAGGCAGAUCCGUGUGGUUCCCAACAGGGAGCAAGCCUGGGUAGUGCAGGGAUUAUCUGCAGCAGCUUUUGUUUGGGUCUGGAAGGGAGCACUGAGGGCAUUGCGAAGCGUUAUGGCAAUGUGAGGACACUGGAGCACUUCUCAAAGCACCCCUGUGGACCUAUUAAUUGCAAUAUUGGAUCUUUCAUCUUUUUCAGCAGGUUCCCAGCAAUAGGCAUGCAGCCAGCUUGGCUGGGGUUUUGUUUAUUUUCCAGUUAACAUAGAAGCAGAAUCAAUUCCAACUAACAAAGCUAGAAAUAUCAGGGAAAAAAAAAAGUUCAAUUCCCAUGGAUCAUCUGAGGCAUAUGCCUGGAAGGUAUUUACUGGUAGCAGGGCAAUUAGGGCAAUGAUAGGGCAGGGGACCAGGAACAUUUCCCAGAAGAGGGUGUGAAACAUAGCAAGCCCAUCAUCAGCAAGGCAAGAGAAGUACCUUCGCUGUGUUGAUUACCACUAGCUAGAUGGGAAAAUUGUGCUUGGAAGCAUGGCAGCACACACAAAACCCAGCUGCAAAUGCUCCCUACAGCAGUUCUCCCCCCAGGGUGGCAAGAGGCAGCUGAGUGGUGCUCAUCUGACGUCCUGUUGCGAUAAGUGUUAAGUGUGGCUGCCCAAACUGAGUAACCAGCACUUGUUACCAACACUAUUAAGCUUUAAGUGGCACUUUAGCCUUGCUCACUCGUGCUGGGUUUGGGUUAUUUAACACAUGGACUCUGGCCACAUGGUCCGACUGGAGCAUAAACUGCCAGAAACUUAAACACUUGUUCACUUCACCACUGCCAGAUUUCCCUCACCUUCAUCGGGGCAGAGCUGCCAAGAGCGUUCUGUGAGUUCUUGCCAGGAGCAUCUGUGAAUUAUGGAUAUCAAUACCCAGUGACUUUCUAUAGGUCACAUUUUUGGCCCCAUCAACACACAGUGGCAAUCCAGGGCUGCCCAGCACACCUGCUAUGUCCCUGAGCAAUGUUGGGCAGAUAUAACAUUGAUACCAUUUGCCUUUUUCAGCGACUCAAAUGGGAUUUCUCUAGGUGCCUCCCUUUGGGUCCUGCAGGUCACUGCUUACCAUGCUCAAACCCUUUGCAUUUAUUUUCUCAGUGUUUACUUGUUUUAAAUAUGCAACUAUAACAGUGGAACAUUUCAAAAACCUGAGUACGUGCUGAUCUGAAGGGCCUUUAUGCUCUUAAAGCCAUAUUAUGAGAAGUGUGAAGUUGUUGUGCAGUCCCUUCCCUGGAUGCUGGCUGCUUCUAGUCUCAGUCCCAUCCUGAGCAGCCUUUGGGGGAGGAGAGAUCUGGGCUGAGUGUGCAGGAGAAAUGCAAGGCUUUAGGUUGAAAACGCUGAGUGUGAGUCAUAAUUCUCCAGAAACUGAACAAAAAAAGAAAAAGAUGCACCAGCUGCGAUACAUGGAGAGGUUUUGAAAAUCUCUGAUUGAAGUAUAUAACUACAGCGGGUCUGCUAGCAAAACCUGAAUGAAGGCAGUGAGAUCCAAAGUCGGCUGUACGCCCCCGGCUCUGUGUUACUGGGGAUUUAGCACUACAGAGGGACAAAUCCAAGGGAGCAGAGAGCAGCCGGACCCACGGGCGGCUCCUCUGGGAACGGCCGACGCUGCGUUUGCUCUCUGCGUUCAGCACCACGGCCAGCGCCGGGCCGUUCGCUGCCGUUUCGUCCCUUGGGCCAACUUUGGGUUGGCAGCGUCCCCAAAAGAAGGGAAUAAAAGGAGGCAGAUCCGUGCUCUGCUCAUCUCUGUGCUGCCCCCAACGGUGGGCAGUCAUCCGGGUCCAACCACAGCCUCUGUUUGUUGCGCUGUUUGGGAAUCUUGGCGAUGCUAGAUGUUCAGAAGGAGCUUGGAAGUGCUGAUCUGAUCCCCAAGCUGACCUGUGGUGUAUGGUUUAAUGAGGCUGGUUUAUGUAUGCCGUACCCUAAAUCUAAAGGUUAGGGUGUUGGGGGCCAUAAAUAUUCACUCUGCGCUGACUGGGUAUUUCAAACAAGCUUUUAAAUAUUUAUGGCGGUGCUUCAAUGGCUGAAGGAGAAUCUUGUAAUAGUAUUAAGAGAAAAAAAAUCCUUCUGUAUCUAAAAGCUCAGCGUGAGCCAUUUUCAUAUAUUAUGCAUCACUAAGUGCUGUUUAUGGCCCUUCUUGGCAGAAUUGGUGCUGUAACAAGACAGAGUUCACGCGUGUGGGGCCGUGCAGCUCCUAGGGUGAACGGGUGCUAUUUUAACAUGCUAAACAGGAUAUUUUGCUGGGAAGUGACAGAGAAUUACAGAACACUACCAAUACCGGCUGCAUUAAAAAUGCCGUCUGGCUGUCAUGGUGCAAUUCAAUCACAGCUGUGCCCUGCUGCCUCUAAAAAGAUCUCAGCCAACCCAAGUGUGAAUUCUGAGGAAAACAUCUGAAAAUGGGAGCAGAUGAGUCGGACACAAGCAGCAGGAUGGAGCUGGAGCUGUUGCCAAGUUGCACCGUGUUUGGUGUUCAAUCUGGGGCUGCCCUGCAGCAAUGUGAAUGCUGUCAGAGUGGGAAUCCAAUGUCUGCAGCUCAACCUUUGGGCCAGCAGAGAGAGCAGCAAAGAGAAAAUCACUUGCAGUUUUUAAUUAGCUUCUAAUUAAGACCGAGAUGGGCUUUUGACUCUGUGCAGAGCAGCACAAUUCAGUCUGACUGAUCCCUCUUUCUGGGUGCUAUGGGAGUGUGGCCUCAUUACUCUCAGCUCCUUGAUUUUUAUACAUGCUUACGAUUUAGGGGAAAGUGCUCUGUCAGCUGAGUUCCCCAGGACUCCUGUGCCUGGCUGGUAAACUCCAUCUCCCCUGUGAAGUCUUUUUGUGCAGAGUUAGGGGAAACAACCCAGGUUUUCCCACUCUGCUUCGUGGAUGGUGGGUGAACUCAAAAGGAAAGGGAGAACGAUGGACGAGAGAGGGAUGCACAUCACGCACCACAUGCAUAGAGAACAGGAUCUCGUAAGCUUCAUUUCCUUAGGAAAUCAGGUUUAAAAUUAAGGCUAAUCAGAAUUAAGAAACACUGCCGUUACCCUAAACCAAAUGAUACUAUAAUAUACUCAGUAUAUUACAUUCUCAAUAGCAAAGCAGCAUCUGCUACAUAAAAUGAAAUGUGUGUGUCACCAUAUGUAGGCAGCAUAAUGUGGACUCAAAUUAAAUAAAAACAUUUCAGGGUAUAUGGUCCAAUGUGCAAUCUGGGCCCUGGGAAAUGCUGAGAUUUACUCUGAAGUUCCUAACAGUUGGCUAAAAUGCUGAACCCAAAGCAGCACAAACCCGGGUCUUUUUAGCGACAUAAGCUGUUGUCUGCACUUCCCCCCCAAUGAGUCAAUAUUGCUUCAGGAGUGCAUUGUUUCUCUUUUUCUUUCUUUUUCUUUUUUCUUUUUUUUUUUUCCUAUUUAUCUGUGUUCCUUAAUGAGGUUUCUUCCCAUUAGCUACAAAACACCUGGGCAAGCAGAGCCCUGGGCAGCAGCAAGCACUGCCUUCCCUCCAUGGAAGGUGCAGGAGGGCACUUGGAAGCCCCAUAAUAGCAUUCGGUCUGUGAUCCACGUGCUGCAGAUGAAUGUGAAGAGGUAAACUUUGCACAGCAGUGUGACUCCAACCCUUCCCAGCCACUCUUUUUCUCCCUGAAAGCUCUCACAGAGCAAGUGGCUUCUCAAGAAGCUCACACAAUCCUGUGCUAUUUUGAAGCAAUCAGGCUGAGCUGCACGAGGCAAUCCUCCCAGUGUGAAUCCUGCUCAAUGAGACUCUGAUGUUUGCCAUUACCCUCCUGUUGACCCCACCUGUUGAUACAAUAACAUGGUAGAAAGUUUGGGUUCUCUUCAGGUGCCUGAAACACUGAAACCAUGCUGGGGGGGGUUUUGCCUGGCUGGGACAGCUAAGGAAUUUGUAGCCAGCAAGCAUUGAUCGUAGGAUGAGUUCAACCCUUUGGAAUCAGCUAAGGAGGAUUUGCUUUUCUUUUGAAGAGAAUCUAUUAGGCACAAAAGAAGAAACGCAAAGCCAUUGUUCAGUGCCAGGAAGGAAGGGAUGUUUGCACAGUGCGUGGCCUGGCUGAGGUUUUAUCCUUCUUGCUCAAGUCCUUGAAUUAUUUUCAGACCAGAAAAGGCAUUGUUCUGCUCUUUAAAACAAAAUUUCCAACUGUGAGGCUUGGAUAGAAGCAUCUGAUGAGUUAAAAAUACAACAUACCAAAAACAAAGGGCAAGGCAAUGCCUCCAGUGGAACUAGCUGUGCUACCACCUGGAAAUGUUGGAUACACCUGUAAAGGCUCCAGGAAUUCACAGGGCACAAAGGCAAAAGGUCUGUGUGCUGUUUACAGGAAUUGCAGGGAGAGAGCUGUAACCAAGCCCACAGUGCCUGGGGCAGUGCAGCUGAGAGCUGUGCCUCAGGGUCAUCCCAGAUUGCUGCAGCAAUGGGGAUGGGCUCAUCUCACCAAAACAGCAGAGAGCUGAGGAACCUGUUACCCAUAUUGUUUUAACGAGGAAGUUCCCCAUGGCUUGUGUUGAAGGAAAAUCCUGCAACCACACAGUGCUCUGUUCCAGCUCCCUUCCUAUUCAUCUUCUGCACUUCCACAGUUCUUCAGCUGCUGUUUUAUUUCUGGUUUCUAAUGCAAGAGGCUGGUUCUCGCCAUUCCUGAUGUGCACUGCUGGUUGCUGACCUGUUCUCACUUGGUCUCCCCAAAGCAUUAGGUGAUGGAUUGAAGUCUGGCAGUCUGCUCCUCCACCUGCUUCUGAGCUGGGAGGUGAAGGGCUGCAGAGAAUGAGAGUUGUUUUCUAAAACUUAGAAAAAAGCAAGCCGUCUUUUCAGAUCCAUACAUGCAUCUUGUUUUUCUUUCCCUCAGUCCUUCAGGUGCAUUUUGAACCCCUAAUGCUAACACAGCAAGUAAAACACGUGGGAUGCAGCCUUUCUGACCCCAAAUCAGCAGCCUAAUACAAUUAGGAGGCAUAAACCAAGGUCAGCCAAGGAGUGAAGCAAAGAAUCAUACGUGGGGGCAUUUUGGAAGACCCAAAUGAAGUCCUCUGCCAAAUGCUUUGGCCAAAUGCACCACCUCUGUUUUAUGUGCCUGUGUUGGAAGUGAACAAAGGCAGCUGCAACCGAGGUGUUCCUGGACAUCAGCAGUACAUGGGCACACACAGGAGCGUUCUUCAAGAUGGGAGAGAAAAAAAAAUAAGACAGCCUGUAAAUACUUGUAACCCUGGGGCAACAGAACACAUAUCCUGGCAACGCGUGUGGGUUUUACUCUUCCAUGACAAUUUGCUUUGCUAUUCAUGAAAAAAUAUGUUGGUGCUGUUACCUUAGCAACUGCCGCAUCACGUUCCGGCGAUGCUCUGCCCGAGGUGCGUGGAGCCUUAAAGGAGCACGUCUGUCUCUCCUGUGCCUCUCCCCCGUGGAAACAGAGCUCAGCUGAGCUGGGAUCUUCACCAGGGAAGUCUCAGAAGUUGGUAAUGAAGCAGGAGGAAAUGCGUUCAUUUAGAUGCACUGUUUUGGAGCUGUGUCUGAUAGUGGCCCGAAGCCACUUUGGAUGAUAUGUCGGAUAAACUUGCAGCAAAAAGGAGCUACUUUCCCAAAAUAUUUUCACUUUUUAAGGGAAGAAAAAUGGCAACGAGAAGCCACUGGCAGGCUGGAUGUAUGGCAGGGAGCAUCUCUGUCCAGCUGUCUCCACCCAUAGUGUCCAUCUUCUGGAUUGGGCCAAUUUCCCAAGAAACAACCAAUUUUGCCUUCCUUUGUGUUGACUUCAAUGGAGAAAUUCAGCCCCAGUUGCUGUAGGUGGGAUCCCUAGGCAAUUCCUACAGAAAGAUAAGGUGAAAAUCUAUCACACAGUGACAUCUCACCUGUAAUGUGUGGAGGAGCCAGGAAGCUUCUUUUGGAAAGGCUCUUGGCUCUGAGUUAACUGCGCCAAGCAAUGGAAGAGCUCCAUGCCUCCAGCUGAGCCCUUUCACCUCCCCCUGAGGGAACACAGCUCCAUUUUCUAGUCAGAAUUCUUCCAACUUCCACUCCACACUGUGGACUAUCACUUUGCUUCUGUUAUCAGACAAAAGACCCUUUGUGUGCAGAAACCUCCCUCCCAGGGCAGCGUCUGCUCUCAGCCCCAUGGCAGCAUCUCCAGACCUCACAGCUCUGAGCCCUUUCCCACUUUCUGCAGGUGUUUUCCAAGUCAGGGUAAGACACCAUGGGAAUCAGAAGACCCAGUCUGUGUUCCUUUGCUGUGUCACUAUGGGCAAUUUUUCCUUUGAUUUCUCUGUUUCUCUGAUUUACACCCAGCAGGGGAGCUCCAUGGGCAGGGCCUUAUCCAUGGAAGCGUUGGGCACAGGUUCUGUGACAGUGUUCUUGGCAUUAAUUACAAAAGGCAGUAAAAGAGGAAUCAAUUAAAACCAAUGACAGAGCUUAUGCUUUUGUCAUUUACCCAGGUGCAAGCCAUAAUUAUUACUAUGAAGGUCAAUGGAGCUGGAUGUUUAUAAAAGCAAAGGAGAGGGUGGAAACAGGACCCUUUUUGGGGAUGUGCUGUCUGAUCAAUUUCACAGCCAAACCUGGUACCACUCUUUGGGAUCUCUCUGUCCUCUGGUUUUGGAUGAGAGCCCAUUCCCAGGCAGAGCAUCCUGCUGCAGUCCCAGCUGGGGGAAGGUGAUGUCUAUGGUAAAAAAAAGCUUUCUAAGGCACGAGGGGAGGAUGUGUUCAGACCUCAUUGCACACCUGAUGCUCUUGGCCUCAGUGCACUGCUCUCGAUAAAGUCAAGAGGAGCUUAAUGCUUUUUAAAGGUCCUCUGUUUUUAUGGGCUAUAAAGCAUUGACCUUAAAGGGAGAUGUUGAGGGAAGUAUAUUAAAGAGAGGCCUAUGGGGGAUGGCCAGGCACACCGGCUUUCCUGCAGCUGCUCUAUGGGCUGCUUUUUUUUUUCCCAAGCUCUCUCUAAACUGAUCUGAUUUUUUUCCCAUGGAUGCUGGUGAGUCCUACUGCAGCCACAAAGCUUCCCUUUGGGCACCCACUGAUGGCAACACACUGCUUUUGUGCGGUUUGAUCUCAGUAGCCUGGCCCUGCUGAGUCCCAGCUUAGUGUCACUGGGCUGCAAACGCUUUGCCUUCCACCCUUUGCUUUGAUGGGGAGUUCAGGGAGCCCACCUCCCACUCCAGCAGUGACCACAGGACUGCUGCAGAAGUGCUCCAAAAUGAGCACUUAAGGAAGGAAAAUCCUCUUGUGGGGCCUCUGCUAAUUGGAUGCCAGUGGCAAGUGAUUUCUGUUGAGGCACUCAUUAAGGUCAGACAUUGUGCACCACAUUUCUCACACUUGAAAAAGGGGGUGAUGGUGUUUGUCAGCCCGUUCUGCCAGCUACUGUGGGACUUAACAGCAUCCAUGAGGUCCUGGGAAAGCUGUGAGCUGGAGAUCAUUUGGGAUGUGUGUAAAGGGGGGGGAUGGAUGUAUCAUUCCCAUGGGUACUGGGAAGGGCACAGUGUGAGGUAUGCAUUGCCCGUGAUGCCCUCCCUAGCCAAGCUCUGGGCACACCAACAGAGCCUCUGUGGGGUAUUGGGAGCAAAGGAUGCACAGCAUGAGAUUUACCCCCUUUCUCCUACCAAACCAAUUGGGCUGUGAGCCUUCCAGCAGAGGCUGCUCAGAGCCCUCUGGGAGGGUUUGCUCUGGUCACGACCUUUGCACGGGGAUUUGACACUUCCA